Molecule: long non-coding RNA, 468 nt
Organism: Anoplopoma fimbria (sablefish)
Lineage: Eukaryota; Metazoa; Chordata; Actinopteri; Perciformes; Anoplopomatidae
Exons: 3
Source: RefSeq, a predicted model, not a curated record
GGGAUCAGGUAUGCAGCUGUCCAUGCCAUACAAGGACAGACAAGGAGUGGGCUUUAUCUCUGAAAUACCGCCUUAUCAAAUCUCUUGAAGAGUGGGUGGAUGACUCACAGCGUGCCUUUCCUAAAGUGAUGCCAUCAGAUCCUAGAGGACACUGGUACGGACGUCAACGAACGGCAAAUCAACAUGACAACAUCCAGCACCACAGUGAGUCCUCUGUGCAGCACCAGUCCAGCGCCCACCAUCUCAAGUUCCAGGGGGACUUACGACAAUGCAUACUUUUACAUCCUGUUUGUCAUGAUCUUCUACUCCAUCCUUGCCACGACACUUCUCAAGUGCUUAGGCAGCGACGAGGAGCAAAAGGACCCCUACGAGGAGUUCACAAGUACACAAAAAUUCAACACAGGCCACAUGGUGGACAAGUUUUACUUUGAAGAGGAGAGCAGCUUGUGAGCCACGGGCUUUCUAAGC